Molecule: ribosomal RNA, 442 nt
Filed under: uncultured bacterium
Lineage: Bacteria
Description: partial 16S ribosomal RNA
Rfam family: Bacterial small subunit ribosomal RNA
Source: RNAcentral
CCUACGGGAGGCAGCAGUGGGGGAUAUUGCACAAUGGGGGAAACCCUGAUGCAGCGACGCCGCGUGGGCGAAGAAGUAUUUCGGUAUGUAAAGCCCUAUUAGCAGGGAAGAAGAAAUGACGGUACCUGAGGAAGAAGCACCGGCCAAAUACGUGCCAGCAGCCGCGGUAAUACGUAGGGUGCAAGCGUUAUCCGGAUUUACUGGGUGUAAAGGGCGCGGUGGGGGGACGGCAAGCCAGAUGUGAAAGCCCGCGGCCCAACCGCGGAACUGCAUUGGGAACUACUGGGCUAGAGUGCCGGAGAGGUAGGCGGAAUGCCUGGUGUAGCGGUGAAAUGCGUAGAUAUUAGGAGGAACACCAGUGGCGAAGGCGGCCUACUGGACGGUAACUGACGCUGAGGCACGAAAGCGUGGGGAGCAAACAGGAUUAGAUACCCGAGUAGUC